RNAcentral lists this small nucleolar RNA (99 nucleotides) under Leersia perrieri. Its description in RNAcentral is "snoRNA snoZ152". It matches the Rfam family "Small nucleolar RNA Z152/R70/R12/". Rfam says of the family: Z152 is a member of the C/D class of snoRNA which contain the C (UGAUGA) and D (CUGA) box motifs. Most of the members of the box C/D family function in directing site-specific 2'-O-methylation of substrate RNAs. The record is from Rfam by way of RNAcentral. Lineage: Eukaryota; Viridiplantae; Streptophyta; Magnoliopsida; Poales; Poaceae.
GAUGCAAUGCAGUGUUGAUAUUGAGGAUUUUGGCAGUGGUGACAUCAGUUGUCGUGAGCUUUCAAUCCAAAAAAACGACUUCUCUUUCCACUGAGCAUU